AUCCAGCUGGCGAGUGCCAAAUAGGACUAAACGCGCGUCCUGGAU
Non-coding RNA from Schistosoma rodhaini, 45 nucleotides. The record is from Rfam. Lineage: Eukaryota; Metazoa; Platyhelminthes; Trematoda; Strigeidida; Schistosomatidae.